Molecule: non-coding RNA, 74 nt
Organism: Cordylochernes scorpioides
Lineage: Eukaryota; Metazoa; Arthropoda; Arachnida; Pseudoscorpiones; Chernetidae
Source: the annotation of a GenBank genome assembly
GUCCAGGGAUUGGAAACCGUACCUACAGUAUUCCGCUUACCAGACAGAUACCAUGUCCACUAGGCUACCCUGGA